GCCGGGGUGAGGAGAAUGUGCUGGAUUACCCACCCACGAGCCAGGAGUCGGGGUGGGAGGAAUCAGCCUUCCUCCAGGACGGCGCAGCCCACCGGGCGCCUGCUAAGUGCCCAGCACUGAACUCACCUUUAGAAAAGAAAUCUACCUAUGCCACGAUGCGGAGUAUACUAAUAAGCCCAGGGAAGAAGAGUCAGACCCAGUGCCAGUGCAGGGGAAACUCAUCUAAUCCAGAACAGCAGACACAGCUCCUCUCCCAUGGAACACCCAGAGUAGACAUUGCCAGUCAAUCCCAGCACCCUUUCUCCGGGAGCCUGGGCUCAGCCUCAAGACUUUGCUCCUGCUUCACAGAGCUCUGCACAGCCAGUUCUCAUC
This 372-nucleotide long non-coding RNA is filed under the name Pongo abelii (Sumatran orangutan). Its description in RNAcentral is "lincRNA". Lineage: Eukaryota; Metazoa; Chordata; Mammalia; Primates; Hominidae. The record is from RNAcentral.